This is a long non-coding RNA of Pongo pygmaeus (Bornean orangutan), 1156 nucleotides long. RefSeq lists it as uncharacterized. NCBI's taxonomy places the organism in Eukaryota, Metazoa, Chordata, Mammalia, Primates, Hominidae. The transcript has 6 exons. The record is from RefSeq and is a predicted model, not a curated record.
GGUUCCCUUGUAACAUUUCUCAUCAAAGAGUGUUCUAUAGGGAAGAGAUAAAACCUAAACAGUCCAGGAAGCUGAGACAAGAAACUGAAAAAAAAAGGAAAGUGAGCAACAAGAUAAUGUAAGUCACAACUGAGCUAAUUAAGGAGCAGGAGAUGCAGCAGCAUGUCCCAAACAAAACUGAUUGGAGGUCAAGUGUGGACAACCAGAGCAAGUUCUUGCACAGCUAAUGUAUCCCCAGGUGUGAACUGAGUAACGUGAAGAAAGGCAUCCUCCUGCCACCUCCUGAAUCAGUAGAAAAAGACAAAAGCUUUUGAUGGGAUUAUGCUGGAUUCAAUGUCAUGGAACCAAACUGGAAAUUUUCUGGCACAAUUUUAAGCGUUUUGCAUGAACUCUAAUUCAUUGAAAUGUAACAACCUUAUAAGGUUCCAGGUGUGUCUCAGUUUUGAAGCUUCACAGCAGCUGAGUAGUAGUGUGUGGUGAGCAUAACAAAUACCUAAAACUUUCAGGAAGGUGAAUCCUUCUCUCUGACCAUGGGAACUAUGGUCUGAAGAUGAACGCCAAUCGCAAGAUAAUUCAAAUAUUGAAAUUAUGAAACAAUGACUUCCAAAUCAGCUAUGAUAAUGUGAUCUACAAGCUAAGGUCUAAUAUCCUCAAAACAAAUGGAAAGACAGAACAUCUUAGCAGGGAAAUAAAAGAUUCAACUGGCUCAUGGUUCGUACGGGGGGAUCCAGGCCCAUGGUUGGGAUCCAGGGGUCCCUCCAGUCUCCUGUUCCAUGGUUGCACACACCUUGAGGGCACCCACACGGUUUGAUCGUCUCUUUAUAUUGCUGCUGGCAGACUCGUGAUGGGGUUUCUCAUUCAUCUGAAGAGAAAGUGAGAGAGAAUCAAAGCAUGUGAAGAGAGACCUCAUGCAAGGAGGUCUAGGAGCCUAGAGUGAUCUUCAGCCAACAGUCAAAAAGAUAACUGGGACAACCACAAGGAACUGACUCCUAUAAGAGAAAUGAGCCUGGAAAAGGACUCCAAGCUUCAGAUGAAAAUGUAGUUGGCUGACAUUUUGAUUUUAGUCUUGUGAAACCCUAAGCAGAGAAUCCAAGUAAGUCCCCCUGAACUUCUCACCUAAAGAACAUGAGUUAAUAAAUAAGGGGUAUGAUAAGUC